AUUGAACGCUGGCGGCAUGCCUUACACAUGCAAGUCGAACGGUAACAGGUCUUCGGAUGCUGACGAGUGGCGAACGGGUGAGUAAUACAUCGGAACGUGCCCAGACGUGGGGGAUAACGAGGCGAAAGCUUUGCUAAUACCGCAUACGAUCUAAGGAUGAAAGCAGGGGACCGCAAGGCCUUGUGCGUUUGGAGCGGCCGAUGGCAGAUUAGGUAGUUGGUGGGAUAAAAGCUUACCAAGCCGACGAUCUGUAGCUGGUCUGAGAGGACGACCAGCCACACUGGGACUGAGACACGGCCCAGACUCCUACGGGAGGGAGCAGUGGGGAAUUUUGGACAAUGGGCGAAAGCCUGAUCCAGCAAUGCCGCGUGCAGGAUGAAGGCCUUCGGGUUGUAAACUGCUUUUGUACGGAACGAAAAGGCUCUGGCUAAUACCUGGGGCACAUGACGGUACCGUAAGAAUAAGCACCGGCUAACUACGUG
This 482-nucleotide ribosomal RNA is filed under the name uncultured bacterium. Its description in RNAcentral is "partial 16S ribosomal RNA". It matches the Rfam family "Bacterial small subunit ribosomal RNA", at positions 30 to 507 of the family's 1533-position model. The record is from RNAcentral.